This 1546-nucleotide long non-coding RNA is filed under the name Pan paniscus (pygmy chimpanzee). RNAcentral's name for it is "lncRNA (ENSPPAG00000045224.1)". Lineage: Eukaryota; Metazoa; Chordata; Mammalia; Primates; Hominidae. The record is from RNAcentral.
AGACUGUUAAAAUAACUCACAUGGAGGUGUUGUGACUGAUGAUGACUUUAAUUUUAUCCUUUACCCAGCCCCUCUGAGAAAAAAAAAAUUGGAAUCUAAUUAGGAUGAUGUUUACCUCCAGAUAAAUGACUCUGUAAUUGUGGAGUUUCAGGCUGUGCACUGAAACUGUGUUGUGGACAGGCAGGGCUCUUCCUAAGCAUCCCGGGAUCUCUGACUUGCCCUGAGUAUAGAGGUGAGUCAGUGGGGCACAUAUCGUACCUGUCACCGCAGGAUGUCAUAAUGGAAUAGAAUAUUAGAGUUGGCAGUGACCUUAGAGACCCAGCUAUUGCACAGAUGAAUCCAAGAGGGGGAAAGGCUUUGCCCAUAGGGAACGAACUGGAAACAGAAUCUCUUCCCAAAAGGCUUAGGCUCAGUGUCUGUUCUUCCGUCCAUAUCUGCCUGUGGGACAUGAUCCAGCUCACGGCUCUUCUCCAGAAGGGCAGGAGAGGAAUUCUGACUCAUUUCCCAUCUCUUUAUCUUUCUGAGCUACAUUUAUGGAUGAUUCUCUCAACUUUUUUUUUUUCAAUUUAUGAAUUCCUUUGCAAAUGUGCCUAAUCUGAUGUUUAUGCCAUUUUUUACUUUAAAAAAGUUUAAUAAUUAUAUAUUUCAUUUUGAGAUGUAUUUGGUGUCAAAUCUGUUAGGUCAUCUUGGAUACUUUUAUGUUCCCUGCAUGUGUGUUUAAUUUCCCCUUUUACUCCCAUAAACAUUGAAAACACGACUUUGAAUCCUGUUCCUGAUAAUCCCAUAAUGUGACAUCUUUGGUGGUCUAAUUCUGACAUCUGCUGCUCCUGCUGACACUUGCUCAUGAUGGAUUGUUUCUCUUGUGCAGGCUCAAUUUUUAUGGUGAACUCAUGUUUUGCAGAUCUCAGUCUGUGGGAAUCUUGACAGGCCUAGGCUGAGGGUUAGUCCUCUGGAGAGAUCUGUCAGGAGGCCUGGAGUGCUUGUUUCCAUCUUGGAAACACAUUAAAAUAUUUCUCAGCUUGGAUAUUCUUCAGGGAGUGUAAAUCCAGACCCGAAAUCCAUGUGAGGAUGGCCUUUACAUUUUCAGGGGGAAGGAAGAGUGAAAUAUCUCUCUUCUUUUUCCUCUUCCUUCUCUUCCCCCUUCUCCUCCUCCUCCUCCUUCUCUCUUUCUCUUUUUUUAACCCAAAGCUGAAGCCAGGAUAGACACACUUUCUUGUUAGCUUCUUUUUCUAUGUCACCUUUUUACCAAGAGUUAGCUCUUCAAGGAUUCUAGCUUUUCCAAGAGUCUCAGUCCUGACACUCCAUCUUGCCUGCAUGGGAGCAGGGCCCUGCCUUCUCUCUUUUGUAUGGCUGUUAAAACCAGUGACUAUAGGUUUCAGAUAUUUCCAGGUGCUUCUAGGGCAGCCCAGAGCAUCAGGGGUCAUUUCUCAUUCUGGUUUCAGCCUCUUCUUUGGUUUUGGCCUUUGUGAGUUUCCUUACUUUCUUAUACCUUCAGGUAGUCAUUUAAAAGAUGUUUGUUUAGUUUCAAUCAACAGGUCUAGGUAUU